RNAcentral lists this ribosomal RNA (253 nucleotides) under uncultured prokaryote. Its description in RNAcentral is "partial 16S ribosomal RNA". It matches the Rfam family "Bacterial small subunit ribosomal RNA", at positions 525 to 777 of the family's 1533-position model. The record is from RNAcentral.
ACGGAGGGUGCGAGCGUUGUCCGGAAUCACUGGGCGUAAAGGGCGCGUAGGCGGCGCGGGAAGUCAUCGGUGAAAGUUCAGGGCUCAACUCUGAAUCGGCCGGUGAUACUCUCGUGCUCGAGCACUGUAGGGGCAGAUGGAAUUCCCGGUGUAGCGGUGGAAUGCGUAGAGAUCGGGAAGAAUACCAGUGGCGAAGGCGUUCUGCUGGGCCGUUGCUGACACUGAGGCGCGACAGCGUGGGGAGCAAACAGGA